UGCAGCAGGCGACGAAACUUACAAUGCCGGCAACGGCGAGUAAGGGGACCUCGAGUGCCAGGUUACAAUCGUGGCUGUCGUGAUGCCUAAAAAGCAUUGCAUAGCAAGGGCCGGGCAAGACCGGUGCCAGCCGCCGCGGUAACACCGGCGGCUCGAGUGGUAACCGUUAUUAUUGGGUCUAAAGGGUCUGUAGCCGGCCGGAUAAGUCUCUUGAGAAAUCCAGCAGCUCAACUGUUGGGCUUUCAGGAGAUACUGUCUGGCUCGAGGCCGGGAGAGGUGAGAGGUACUUCAGGGGUAGGGGUGAAAUCUUGUAAUCCUUGAAGGACCACCAGUGGCGAAGGCGUCUCACCAGAACGGACCUGACGGCAAGGGACGAAAGCUAGGGGCACGAACCGGAUUAGAUACCCGGGUAGUCCUAGCCGUAAACGAUACUCGCUAGGUGUCGGCCACGGUGCGACCGUUGUCGGUGCCGUAGGGGAAGCCGUGAAGCGAGCCACCUGG
This 501-nucleotide ribosomal RNA is filed under the name uncultured archaeon. RNAcentral describes it as "bacterial SSU rRNA". It matches the Rfam family "Archaeal small subunit ribosomal RNA", at positions 331 to 831 of the family's 1478-position model. The record is from RNAcentral.